RNAcentral lists this ribosomal RNA (468 nucleotides) under Triticum aestivum (bread wheat). RNAcentral describes it as "partial small subunit ribosomal RNA". Lineage: Eukaryota; Viridiplantae; Streptophyta; Magnoliopsida; Poales; Poaceae. The record is from RNAcentral.
AUGCUCACAGGAUCACUCGAAGCACAUAAAGUUCCACCCCCUUCUAUCCAAUACCGCGGAGAGCUUGAGAAGUACUGUCACUGGGGCAAUGAAGUGAAGCUCUAUCGACACGAUGCAAACAAAGCUCUCAAGCACAUGAAGAGCAUCGACAGUAAAGUGCUGCGGGACAUAAGCUACGACAAGAUGCAGCUACUCCAACAAAAGUGUGAAACUCUUAAGCAUCAGCAGAAAGAAAAGGACAACCUAAUAGACUAUUUUAGCAACAGCUGGAGCCAUAGCCUCAGUGGAGAUCACAUGGCAGCAAAGGAGCUUUACCGUAUAAUAGAUAGCAACUUCACGGCUGGAUCAACAUGCAAAGACAAUGAUCUGAAUCAUAUAUUGUCGCAGGUAAGAUAUGUUGCUGAUUGUCUCACUAAUACAGCCACGCAAUCAGAGUAUGAACUCCAACAAACAAACAAGUACUACUAG